Molecule: ribosomal RNA, 577 nt
Filed under: uncultured bacterium
Lineage: Bacteria
Description: bacterial SSU rRNA
Rfam family: Bacterial small subunit ribosomal RNA
Source: RNAcentral
ACGGGUGAGUAACGCGUGGGCAACCUGCCUGUUACAGGGGGGUAACACAGGGAAACUUGUGCUAAUACCGCAUAACACAGCGAGGUAGCAUUACCUUGUUGUCAAAGGAGAAAUCCGGUGACAGAUGGGCCCGCGUCCAAUUAGCUAGUUGGUGAUGUAACGGACCACCAAGGCGACGAUUGGUAGCCGAACUGAGAGGUUGAUCGGCCACAUUGGGACUGAGACACGGCCCAGACUCCUACGGGAGGCAGCAGUGGGGAAUAUUGCACAAUGGGGGAAACCUUGAUGCAGCAACGCCGCGUGAAGGAUGAAGGUUUUCGGAUUGUAAACUUCUUUAGUCAGGGACGAAAAAAAUGACGGUACCUGAAGAAUAAGCCACGGCUAACUACGUGCCAGCAGCCGCGGUAAUACGUAGGUGGCGAGCGUUGUCCGGAAUUACUGGGUGUAAAGGGCGUGUAGGCGGGAAUGUAAGUCAGAUGUGAAAUCCCAGGGCUUAACUCUGGAGCUGCAUCUGAAACUAUGUUUCUUGAGUGCCGGAGAGGAAAGCGGAAUUCCUAGUGUAGCGGUGAAAUGCGUA